GGCCAGUUGAUUCCAGUUGCUUUCACUAUCUGAUGGCAUGACUCAAAGGCACUCGGGAAUUCUGACUACUGACUACUCGGUCACGGUAUGGCCAGUUCCAUUCUUAUCUAUUUUGUAGCGUUGCACCCUUAAUACAUAGAUCUGAUUGCUUGCUUCGGUACGAGCUGGACCGAGUUCUAAGGAGUGUUCUAAAUGUGAACAUGAUUAGUUUUAACACCUCCAUCGGUGAAGGACAAUAACACUGAUUGAAGACGUGGUAUAAUGCACUAGCUUGCCACUGAUUACAGCAUCCCUCGAAUGAAAACUGAAAACUACCCGUGCCAGAGAGAUCACUCAAACUGUGUGGGGUGGCAAAUUAUUGGACACCGAACAUACACGACACACGGAAAUACGUAGCACAAAAACACUUAUAGAUGAGUAGAUGAACUAAAUCAAUGCCAAAACUUGAUCAAGCGGACGAUUUUGAUGACACCGAGUAGAAGAGUAUAUAUUAUUACCUUGGAA
Molecule: long non-coding RNA, 504 nt
Organism: Malaya genurostris
Lineage: Eukaryota; Metazoa; Arthropoda; Insecta; Diptera; Culicidae
Exons: 3
Source: RefSeq, a predicted model, not a curated record